RNAcentral lists this ribosomal RNA (520 nucleotides) under uncultured bacterium. Its description in RNAcentral is "bacterial SSU rRNA". It matches the Rfam family "Bacterial small subunit ribosomal RNA", at positions 26 to 518 of the family's 1533-position model. The record is from RNAcentral.
AGGACGAACGCUGGCGGCGUGCCUAAUACAUGCAAGUCGAACGGUCUUUCUAUGGAAGCUUGCUUCCACUGAGAAGAUAGUGGCGAACGGGUGAGUAACACGUGGGUAACCUGCCCAUAAGAGGGGGGAUAACAUCCGGAAACGGGUGCUAAUACCGCAUAGUUUUCUUGAUCGCAUGAUUGAGAAAGGAAAGGCGGCCUUUGUGCUGUCGCUUAUGGAUGGACCCGCGGCGUAUUAGUUAGUUGGUGAGGUAACGGCUCACCAAGACGAUGAUACGUAGCCGACCUGAGAGGGUGAUCGGCCACAUUGGGACUGAGACACGGCCCAAACUCCUACGGGAGGCAGCAGUAGGGAAUCUUCCGCAAUGGACGAAAGUCUGACGGAGCAACGCCGCGUGAGUGAAGAAAGGUUUUCGGAUCGUAAAACUCUGUUGUCAGAGAAGAACAAGUUGGAGAGUAACUGCUCCAGCCUUGACGGUAUCUGACCAGAAAGCCACGGCUAACUACGUGCCAGCCGCCGC